GUGGGGAAUUUUGGACAAUGGGCGCAAGCCUGAUCCAGCAAUGCCGCGUGCAGGAAGAAGGCCUUCGGGUUGUAAACUGCUUUUGUACGGAACGAAACGGUCCUGGUUAAUACCUGGGGCUAAUGACGGUACCGUAAGAAUAAGCACCGGCUAACUACGUGCCAGCAGCCGCGGUAAUACGUAGGGUGCGAGCGUUAAUCGGAAUUACUGGGCGUAAAGCGUGCGCAGGCGGUGCUGUAAGACAGGCGUGAAAUCCCCGAGCUCAACCUGGGAAUUGCGCUUGGGAAUGCAGUGCUGGAGUACGGCAGAGGGGGAUGGAAUUCCGCGUGUAGCAGUGAAAUGCGUAGAUAUGCGGAGGAACACCGAUGGCGAAGGCAGUCCCCUGGGCCUGUACUGACGCUCAUGCACGAAAGCGUGGGGAGCAAACAGGAUUAGAUACCCGAGUAGUCC
Molecule: ribosomal RNA, 450 nt
Filed under: uncultured bacterium
Lineage: Bacteria
Description: partial 16S ribosomal RNA
Rfam family: Bacterial small subunit ribosomal RNA
Source: RNAcentral